Molecule: ribosomal RNA, 88 nt
Filed under: Staphylococcus hominis
Lineage: Bacteria; Bacillati; Bacillota; Bacilli; Caryophanales; Staphylococcaceae
Source: RNAcentral
CCUGUUCCCAUGCCGAACACAGAAGUUAAGCUCCUUAGCGCCGAUGGUAGUUGGACUGACGUUCCGCUAGAGUAGGACGUUGCCAGGC